RNAcentral lists this long non-coding RNA (330 nucleotides) under Homo sapiens (human). RNAcentral's name for it is "non-protein coding lnc-MEAF6-5:1". The record is from RNAcentral. Lineage: Eukaryota; Metazoa; Chordata; Mammalia; Primates; Hominidae.
CUGCUGGGAAGUUCAGAUACAGGUUGCACGAAUGUCUAAGGCUAAGGCAUGAGAGGGAGGACCAAGUGAGACAGCAGGUGGGUCAAGAAUGGGAUUCUGGGCUGGGCGUGGUGGCACAUGCCUGUGGUCUCAGCUACUCGGGAGGCUGAGAGGAGUGAGCUGCAGGCAGGAGAGCAGGGUCUGGGGUGAGUCCUGGAAUCACAGUCAGGGGUCUGUCCAGGGCAGUGGGCACUGAUGAGGGCUUACAGAUCCUGGGUUGGAGGAGCAGCUCAGAGCACCUUGUGGGGCAUUUAUCUUCGUCUUCAUGUUUCUGAUUUAGCUUUUUUUUUU